AGGCCAGACUCCUACGGGAGGCAGCAGUGGGGAAUCUUGCACAAUGGGCGAAAGCCUGAUGCAGCGACGCCGCGUGGGCGAAGAAGGCCUUUGGGCCGUAAGGCCCUGUCGGGAGGGAAGAAGGAAGCGACGGUACCUCCCAAGGAAGCCCCGGCUAACUACGUGCCAGCAGCCGCGGUAACACGUAGGGGGCGAGCGUUAUCCGGAAUCAUUGGGCGUAAAGGGAGCGCAGACGGCAGUGCAAGUCUGGAGUGAAAGCCCGUGGCUUAACUACGGGACUGCUCUGGAAACUGUGCAGCUAGAGUGCAGGAGAGGCAGGCGGAAUUCCUAGUGUAGCGGUGAAAUGCGUAGAUAUUAGGAGGAACACCGGUGACGAAGGCGGCCUGCUGGACUGUAACUGACGUUGAGGCUCGAAAGCGUGGGGAGCAAACAGGAUUAGAUACCCCUGUAGA
This 452-nucleotide ribosomal RNA is filed under the name uncultured bacterium. RNAcentral describes it as "bacterial SSU rRNA". It matches the Rfam family "Bacterial small subunit ribosomal RNA", at positions 328 to 794 of the family's 1533-position model. The record is from RNAcentral.